UACGGGAGGCAGCAGUGGGGAAUAUUGCACAAUGGGCGAAAGCCUGAUGCAGCUAUGCCGCGUGUAUGAAGAAGGCCUUAGGGUUGUAAAGUACUUUCAUCGGGGAGGAAAAAACAAAACUAAUAAUUUUAUUUCUUGACGUUACCCGAAAAAGAAGCACCGGCUAACUCCGUGCCAGCAGCCGCGGUAAUACGGAGGGUGCUAGCGUUAAUCAGAAUUACUGGGCGUAAAGAGCACGUAGGUGGUUUUUUUAAGUCAGAUGUGAAAUCCCUGGGCUUUAACCUAGGAACUGCAUUUUGAAACUGAAAUACUAGAGUAUCGUAGAGGGAGGUAGAAUUCUAGGUGUAGCGGUGAAAUGCGUAGAUAUCUGGAGGAAUACCUGUGGCGAAAGCGGCCUCCUAAACGAAUACUGACACUGAGGGUGCGAAAGCGUGGGGAGCAAACAGGGAUUAGAUACC
Molecule: ribosomal RNA, 458 nt
Filed under: uncultured bacterium
Lineage: Bacteria
Description: bacterial SSU rRNA
Rfam family: Bacterial small subunit ribosomal RNA
Source: RNAcentral